This 619-nucleotide ribosomal RNA is filed under the name Mytilus coruscus. Its description in RNAcentral is "SSU rRNA". It matches the Rfam family "Eukaryotic small subunit ribosomal RNA", at positions 1 to 611 of the family's 1831-position model. The record is from RNAcentral. Lineage: Eukaryota; Metazoa; Mollusca; Bivalvia; Mytilida; Mytilidae.
AUCUGGUUGAUCCUGCCAGUAGUCAUAUGCUUGUCUCAAAGUAUAAGCCAUGCAUGUCUAAGUACAUACUUUUACAUAGUGAAACCGCGAAUGGCUCAUUAAAUCAGUUAUGGUUCCUUAGAUAGUAAAAUCCUACUUGGAUAACUGUGGUAAUUCUAGAUCUAAAACAUGAAGCACGGAUCUGACCUCGCGGAAUGAGCGCGUUUAUUAGAUCAAAACAAGUCGGGUUCGCAAGGGCCCGUCGGAUUGGUUAGACUGGAUAACUUUGUGCUGAUCGCACGGUCUCGCGCCGGCGACGUAUCUUUCAAAUGUCUGUCCCAUCAACUUUCGAUGGUAUGUGAUAUGCCUACCAUGGUUGGUACGGGAAACGGGAAAUCAUGGUUUCUAUUCCGGAGAGGGAGCAUAAGAAACGGCUACUACAUCCAAGGAAGGCAGCAGGCGCGCAAAUUACCCACUCCUGGCACGGGGAGGUAGUGAUUAAAUUUAGCAAUACGGGACUCUUUCGAGGCCCCGUAAUUGGAAUGAGUACACUAAAAACCCUUAAACGAGGAUCUAUUGGAGGGCAAGUCUUGUGCCAGCAGCCGCGGUAAUUCCAGCUUCGAAAGCAUAUCUUAAAAUU